GAGAUCUGACGGCUUAAAAGUGUGGCACUUCCUACCUCACUCUCUCUCUCUCUCCUGCUGCAUUGUGAAGAAACUGCUUGCUUCCCUCUCACCCUCUGCAGUUUCCUGAGGCCUCCCCAGCCAUGCGGAACGGCCAGAUGCAGUGCCUCAUGCCUGUAAUCCCAGCACUUUGGGAGGCUGAGGGAGGAUUGCUUGAGCCUGCUUCCAUAUCGUAAACUGCCUUGGAACCAAUUACCACUACCAGGGAGACAAACUAUUGCUUAGAGGAUGCUGACAGGAGCAGCAUGCCAAAAUUGGAAGAAGGAGAAAGUUUAAGCUCUCCUCACUAUGAGUUUUCAAGUAUAAAAGACUUUUUCUUCCACGAUUUUGAGAACAACUGAGGACUCUUGUGACCAGGACAACAGGGAAGCUUGCAGCAAGAUAGCUCCAGGUUGGAUUCAUGCUUCGCACCCCAAGGGCUGCCAGCCAGAGAGGAGGAGAAGCAAUCACUCCUGCAGUUUCUGAACACUACACAGACGCCAGGUAGCUUCUUCAGGAGAACAGCCCUCUGAGGAGGCAGGAAGAGGAGGCUUAUCUUUCAGCAGCCGGAGCUGCUGAGAUCUCUGGGCAGAUUAAGCUCUCUCUAAUGGAUGGGCUCCAGCCUGGCACAUUCAGUGGAGAGGGAUCCACUCAUCCAUCAUCAACAUAAUAUGGUCCUCCCUGCACUUCACAGUGUCCUCUUGCUAUUGAAAAGGCUUUUUUGCCUUCUCAAGUUUCUUUGUCAACAGUCUACAGGAAGAAGCUCAGGCCGCCACCGGCAGAGGUGAAUGCAAGCUCACGUUUUAUUUCUGACUGCUUAAUCAUUGCCUCGAUCACUGCUCAAGCUCUGCCUUUGUUUCCAAAGGUUACCUGUGGGAAAACUUCUUUUUCUAUGCUGAAAUUAAUAGGGAGGCAAAGAUGAGUCCACUGAUAAGCAGAGCCUUAAAACUCACAUAGAGAAACAACUUUGCUGGAGUGUGUGUGAGUGAACCACUAAGGAAUCAGAUAGUGUGAUGGCAGUUAUCAUUGCAGGUUAAGACAUUUCUACAAAUAUUUCGACAUCUCCAUAUACUCACUCCUUUCCCCCCUGAGUGGAGAGACUCAGCUACCAAGAGAGGAAGCUCAAAAAAAACAGAAGCUUCAAACAAACAACCAACCAAAAAAAAAAAAAAACUGUGGGUUCAUCAGAGGUGGUAGGGAAGACAAAAACAUGGGAGGAGCAGCUGGGCACGGUGGCUCAAGCCUGUAAUCCCAGCACUUUGCGAGGCUGAGGUGGGUGGAUCACCUGAGGUCAGGAGUUCGAGACCAGCCUGGCCAACAUGGUGAAACCCCAUCUCUACUAAAAAUACAAAAAAUUAGCCGGGCGUUGUGGUACGCACCUGUAAUCCCAGCUACUCCGGAGGCUGAGGCAGCAGAAUCGCUUGAACCCAGGAGGCAGAGGUUGCAACGAGCCAAGAUCGCACCAUUGCACUCCAGCCUGGGCAACAAGAGCGAAACUCCAUCUAAAAAAAACAAACAAGCAAACAAACAAAAAACACGGGAGGAGCAAUAAAAAGGAAUCCAUGCUUUGAUUUUUUUUUUUAGUGAGAGGAAGGGAAGGCUGCUGCCUCUCACUUCUCCCUGUUUUGUUGUUCUUUUAAGUAGCAUGUGUCACUCUGUAUAUAUCCUGUCCAUGUGUUUUCUUUUAUUAUUAUUUGUCCACUUGCCUAGAAUGAAAACUCCAUGGGAGCAUG
Molecule: long non-coding RNA, 1751 nt
Filed under: Homo sapiens (human)
Lineage: Eukaryota; Metazoa; Chordata; Mammalia; Primates; Hominidae
Description: long intergenic non-protein coding RNA 958
Source: RNAcentral